UUGGGCAUCAACUUAUCUUGUG
This 22-nucleotide non-coding RNA is filed under the name Arabidopsis thaliana (thale cress). The record is from RNAcentral. Lineage: Eukaryota; Viridiplantae; Streptophyta; Magnoliopsida; Brassicales; Brassicaceae.